Molecule: unclassified non-coding RNA, 1109 nt
Filed under: Hevea brasiliensis (rubber tree)
Lineage: Eukaryota; Viridiplantae; Streptophyta; Magnoliopsida; Malpighiales; Euphorbiaceae
Source: RNAcentral
UGAGCUUUAUUUUAUUUUAUUUGUCAAUCGUUAAUAUUUUAUCGUAGAAAAGGCUUAGGCCUAGCACAUAGCAAAGAAUACACUAGAUCCAACAUUACAAUAUAAGGUUAGAAGCCUAGCUUAAGCACAUUACAUACACCUAAAAAGCCCAAUCAUUGCCUGAGUAACUAAAAUGGGCCUACCCAGCCCAUCAGCGGAGGAAAGGCCAGAGACCCAACAGAUAACCUAACCCUGGACGAUUGUAGCAACAUAGUAUCUUGAAAAUUUUCCCAAGGAAUUCGUCGCAUCCCCGAAUAUGCGCUAUAAAGAAUGAGCCAGGCCAGAAUGAAACCAUUGACCGGUGAGACAUGCAGCAGCGCAACGCCGCUUGAGGCAUUUUGGGUGUUAUCUUACCUUGUUAUUAACCCAAAAAGAUUAAAACGGCUAACUGACUCCCUGAAAAUUCCCAGUUGUUCUCAAUCUUCUCGGCUUGGCUGGUUGACAUUAUCCAGCUUCGGAGCCAGAAAACUGGCAUAAAUUGAGCAUAGGUAGACAAAACAUGAUGCAACCUUUCCUCUGGUAGGACUUCCAUUGUUGGGUCCAAAACGUGGGUCCCAAAGCAGUGAAGUUUACUAUUCUCGCCAAUCAUCUAAUAUUGAAGAUCAAAAAUCAAAAGUCCAACUAGUGAAAAGAUUGAAACUUGAAAGCCAUCACCAAGUAGAAAUAACAGAUCAAUGAUUCCCCACGAGUGAGUAACCCUCUACUUUUAGUACCCAUACACUUUCCUGGCGCGCUUUAAUUAUCUGCAACUGCAACUUUUACACCCAUUUUUCCUUCUUUUUUGAUCACCUUCGCUUACUGCUAGAGAAAAGAAUACGGUGUUCGGUGUUCACAGCUUUUCCACCACCACAAACACAUGAAAUGGUUCUUGGAAGCAAUACACUAAUUAGCUAAAUAACUGAGCCUCUUCUCUUUUCUCUUAAAAUGAAACAAAUUAUCUAUAUAUUAUAACAUAGUAGUACAUCCAAAAGAUUAUUAUUGAUUACUGAUCCAUCUGAGAAAAAAAAAUAUAUAUAUAUAAUAAAACCUCUCUUUUUUCUCUCAGAUAAAAAAAAAAUAAGAAAUAUAUA